AGCUUUGCACCAUGGCAGUAUCAUAGCCAAUGAGUUUCAUUGGGGCAUGAUUAUUGCUAAUUGAGAAUGAUUCUCAAGUUUCCAAAGAGAGAAAAAAUGACUUAGUUUCUCAGCCUUCUAGAUGGCAAAUUUUUCUUCAGUAUUAUUUCU
This is a non-coding RNA of Heterocephalus glaber (naked mole-rat), 150 nucleotides long. The record is from Rfam. NCBI's taxonomy places the organism in Eukaryota, Metazoa, Chordata, Mammalia, Rodentia, Bathyergidae.